UGAGGAAUAUUGCACAAUGGGCGAAAGCCUGAUGCAGCGACACCGCGUGAAGGAUGAAGGUCUUAGGGCUGUAAACUUCUGUUAAGUGGGAAAAAAGACCCGUCUCUAAUAAAGAUGGGGGAUGAUGGUACCACUAAAGAAAGCACCGGCUAACUUCGUGCCAGCAGCCGCGGUAAUACGAGGGGUGCAAACGUUAUUCGGAAUUACUGGGUGUAAAGGGUAUGUAGACGGCACUUUAAGUCAAUUGUUAAAUUCCCCGGCUUAACUGGGGGCAGGCAAUUGAAACUAAAGAGCUAGAGGAUGGAAGAGAGAAGUGGAAUUCUCGGAGUAGCGGUAAAAUGCGUAGAUCUCGAGAGGAACACCGAUGGCGAAGGCAGCUUCUUGGUCCAUUACUGACGUU
RNAcentral lists this ribosomal RNA (400 nucleotides) under uncultured bacterium. RNAcentral's name for it is "bacterial SSU rRNA". It matches the Rfam family "Bacterial small subunit ribosomal RNA", at positions 355 to 747 of the family's 1533-position model. The record is from RNAcentral.